Symphalangus syndactylus (siamang) is the source of this 1629-nucleotide long non-coding RNA. RefSeq lists it as uncharacterized. The record is from RefSeq and is a predicted model, not a curated record. NCBI's taxonomy places the organism in Eukaryota, Metazoa, Chordata, Mammalia, Primates, Hylobatidae.
CACCCACUGGAGACCUCAUGCAAGCAGAGUCUAAAGGCACCAUGUUGGGGUGGAGUCACUGCUCACUUCAAUGAAAGUUAUGUGCUCAUUAACACCUCUCUCUCCCACUUACGAGAAUCUCUGACGUGGGGUCAUGGCUACUUUGGCAUGGCUUUACUGGUGAAACAAUGGUGAGCGAGACACCAUGGAGGUGUGGACAAUACCUGUCUACACCACAUUCAGCCUGGACAGAGAACCAAAACUACACCUGUCUACAUGAACAGUCUCCAGUGAUACUAGGAGUUCUCCACGUGGGCCAUGUCCAAAGUAUCAAAAUCAAGAAGAUUCAAACCCAGGGUGCUAUAGGUUUCCAUGAACUUCCCCUCAGAGCAAUUGGGAGCAGGCGGUGCCUGAAGAAGGACUCUGGGGUGUGGAUUUCACACUAGUCCUUCAACCUCAAUCAGCUCCUGGGAUUUCCAUAUGGAAGAAGAUAUGAUUCCCACUAACAAGAUGAGGACUGAUUCUACCUCUGUGCCAAAUUCCACAGCCCUUUUGAGAGAGAAGCGUAUGAAGGACGAAGGAAUAGAGAAGACACAGGCUUUGAACUUAUGAACUGGGUUCUCAUUGUUGGGUUCCUUACUUCCCAGCUUGGUAUUGCCGGCUUGGUAUUGCCAGCUGGAACAUGGAUGAAGCUGGAAACCAUCAUUCUCAGCAAAUUAACACAAGAACAGAAGACCAAACACCUCAUGUUCUCACUCGUCACUGUCUGGGUGGUCAGGAUGGUGGCUCAUGGGGGCAGCACCCACAUGGGGAUGACACAUGGAGUGAAGUGUCCACCUGCCUGUGUCCACCCAGUGAGGCUGGGAUGAGACCCUGUGGAUGGAUGGCUGGUGACACUUGGGAGCAGCCGCAGACAAGCCAAUCACUCAGAGACUUAGGGCCUCACUGGGGAGGCGUGAGAUUUCCUUUAGUCCAUGGACACCAAUGAACACCACUCUACACCCAUAUCCAGCACAGAUGACAAAGAACACAGACCCCAAGAAAGGGCUGGUGGGGGUUACACCAUGCCAGGAAAGUUCCUGGGACUGGGAAUGAGCUAGACUCCACCUAUUGGUUGUGUGACUUGAGAAAGCAACUUAAUCUCUCUAACCUCAUUCAUGCAAUAACUACUCAUCAGGUACUCGCUGCAUGCCAAGCAUUGUUAGAGACUUUCGAUGCAGCCUUUUCUACAAAAUAGGGAUUUUUACCACCUACCUAAUAGGACUGAUGUUAAGUCCAUAAGACAUAAAGCAAUGACUAUAGUACCUGGCCCUCAAUUAAGGUGAGUUAUAAUCUCCUGCUAACAUACCUCUCCUUUUGGAAAUUGGGGGUCAGGAUGUGAUGGAUAAGAAGCAGGUCAAUUCAAAGCCUGGCAUUCAAGAGAAAAAUACCUAAUGGGUGACAAUAGCAAAUUCCCAGCCAUUUUGCUCUCUUUUUUGAAAAGAACAGACCAUGCGGGGCUUGGAAUGACCAAAAGUUAAGGCAACAAGUGCAGUGGCAAGGACGCUAGGCCCAGUCUGCGCCGCUGUCUUGCCGUGUGACUUAAGUUAAAAGCUUUGCCCUCUCUGUUCCUGGCUUUCCUCAUCUGUCAGAGGAAAAUAAUAAUAUCUG